UUGAACGCUGGCGGCCGGCCUAACCCCUGCCAGUCGAGCGGAUGAAGGGAGCUUGCUCCUGGAUUCAGCGGCGGACGGGUGAGUAAUGCCUAGGAAUCUGCCUGGUAGUGGGGGAUAACGUCCGGAAACGGGCGCUAAUACCGCAUACGUCCUGAGGGGGAAAGUGGGGGAUCUUCGGACCUCACGCUAUCAGAUGAGCCUAGGUCGGAUUAGCUAGUUGGUGGGGUAAAGGCCUACCAAGGCGACGAUCCGUAACUGGUCUGAGAGGAUGAUCAGUCACACUGGAACUGAGACACGGUCCAGACUCCUACGGGAGGCAGCAGUGGGGAAUAUUGGACAAUGGGCGAAAGCCUGAUCCAGCCAUGCCGCGUGUGUGAAGAAGGUCUUCGGAUUGUAAAGCACUUUAAGUUGGGAGGAAGGGCAGUAAGUUAAUACCUUGCUGUUUUGACGUUACCAACAGAAUAAGCACCGGCUAACUUCGUG
RNAcentral lists this ribosomal RNA (483 nucleotides) under uncultured bacterium. Its description in RNAcentral is "partial 16S ribosomal RNA". It matches the Rfam family "Bacterial small subunit ribosomal RNA", at positions 30 to 507 of the family's 1533-position model. The record is from RNAcentral.